UGCUUAAUGUUUUAGAAAUGCGGUGAC
RNAcentral lists this non-coding RNA (27 nucleotides) under Mus musculus (house mouse). The record is from RNAcentral. Lineage: Eukaryota; Metazoa; Chordata; Mammalia; Rodentia; Muridae.